AUGGGAUGCUCAAUCUAUAUUUACCACACAUAUAUGUUAGAAUUUAAUAUGACAGCACAUAGCUUCAACCAUAUUUACACUGCAGUUGUCGUAUAUAUAUGCAUGAAAAAUAAUUUUUACAAUAUGCAAUACAAGGAACUCAAUGGAUUAAAGAAAUUGCAUCGUCCUAAUCUAAGAAAAAUAAUGAGGUGCUCAAUCUUGAUUCACCACACAUAUAUGUUACAGCUUAAUAUUGCAGUAAAGCUUCAACCGUAUUUAUGCUAUAGUUGUUGUGUAUAUAAGCAUGAAAAUAAUUUUUGA
This 300-nucleotide ribosomal RNA is filed under the name Triticum aestivum (bread wheat). RNAcentral's name for it is "partial small subunit ribosomal RNA". Lineage: Eukaryota; Viridiplantae; Streptophyta; Magnoliopsida; Poales; Poaceae. The record is from RNAcentral.